GCAGUCGCCGCGGUAAUACGAAGGGUGCAAGCGUUAAUCGGAAUUACUGGGCGUAAAGCGUGCGUAGGCGGUGAGUUAAGUCUGCUGUGAAAUCCCCGGGCUCAACCUGGGAAUGGCAGUGGAUACUGGCUCGCUAGAGUGUGUCAGAGGAUGGUGGAAUUCCCGGUGUAGCGGUGAAAUGCGUAGAGAUCGGGAGGAACAUCAGUGGCGAAGGCGGCCAUCUGGGACAACACUGACGCUGAGGCACGAAAGCGUGGGGAGCAAACAGGAUUAGAUACCCGCGUAGUCCCUGUCUCUUAUAC
Molecule: ribosomal RNA, 302 nt
Filed under: uncultured bacterium
Lineage: Bacteria
Description: partial 16S ribosomal RNA
Rfam family: Bacterial small subunit ribosomal RNA
Source: RNAcentral